AUGUUUUACAUAAAUGCAUUAUAGACAGUUUUAUAUCAACAGAAAUGUGUUUUGUCUGAAUCCUACGGAGCCGAUUUCUCUGUCGUGUACAAACUUGGAUGUGCCACUACCGACGUGUGUAGGAAUGUGUUUGGGUACGAUUCCUCCCUAGUAGUCAUAGGACGCGAUGUACCAGAGAGGAGGGCCACCUUAAACGGCAAGUGUUGCGACACGGAUCUGUGCAACACUCGUAUGCGAAAGAGGGAAUCCAUUGUCAAAAGACAGGUUGCUAUGGAUAACAGAACUUCGAUAUGUACCGACAUCGACACUGCCUCUUGUCAGAGACUGGGUAAAAUUAAACAGGGUAUGUGUAGCGACCCGUGUAUGGCCAAAGC
This is a long non-coding RNA of Ostrea edulis (European flat oyster), 374 nucleotides long. RefSeq lists it as uncharacterized. The record is from RefSeq and is a predicted model, not a curated record. The transcript has 3 exons. NCBI's taxonomy places the organism in Eukaryota, Metazoa, Mollusca, Bivalvia, Ostreida, Ostreidae.